ACACUGAGACUGAGACACGGCCCAGACUCGUACGGGAGGCAGCAGUGGGGAAUAUUGCACAAUGGGGGAAACCCUGAUGCAGCCAUGCCGCGUGUGUGAAGAAGGCCUUCGGGUUGUAAAGCACUUUCAGUUGUGAGGAAAGGUUGGUAGUUAAUACCUGCCAGCUGUGACGUUAACAACAGAAGAAGCACCGGCUAACUCCGUGCCAGCAGCCGCGGUAAUACGGAGGGUGCGAGCGUUAAUCGGAAUUACUGGGCGUAAAGCGCACGCAGGCGGUUUGUUAAGCUAGAUGUGAAAGCCCCGGGCUCAACCUGGGAUGGUCAUUUAGAACUGGCAGACUAGAGUCUUGGAGAGGGGAGUGGAAUUCCAGGUGUAGCGGUGAAAUGCGUAGAGAUCUGGAGGAACAUCAGUGGCGAAGGCGACUCCCUGGCCAAAGACUGACGCUCAUGUGCGAAAGCGUGGGUAGCGAACAGGAUUAGAUACCCUGGUAGUCCACACCGUAAACGCUGUCUACUAGCUGUGUGUGUAUUUUAUACGUGCGUAGCGAAGCUAACGCGCUAAGUAGACCGCCUGGGGAGUACGGCCGCAAGGUUAAAACUCAAAUGAAUUGACGGGGGCCCGCACAAGCGGUGGAGCAUGUGGUUUAAUUCGAUGCAACGCGAAGAACCUUACCUACACUUGACAUGCAGAGAACUUUCUAGAGAUAGAUUGGUGCCUUCGGGAACUCUGACACAGGUGCUGCAUGGCUGUCGUCAGCUCGUGUCGUGAGAUGUUGGGUUAAGUCCCGCAACGAGCGCAACCCUUGUCCUUAGUUGCCAGCAUUAAGUUGGGCACUCUAAGGAGACUGCCGGUGACAAACCGGAGGAAGGUGGGGACGACGUCAAGUCAUCAUG
Molecule: ribosomal RNA, 893 nt
Filed under: uncultured bacterium
Lineage: Bacteria
Description: bacterial SSU rRNA
Rfam family: Bacterial small subunit ribosomal RNA
Source: RNAcentral